RNAcentral lists this ribosomal RNA (659 nucleotides) under uncultured Lachnospiraceae bacterium. RNAcentral's name for it is "bacterial SSU rRNA". It matches the Rfam family "Bacterial small subunit ribosomal RNA", at positions 66 to 726 of the family's 1533-position model. The record is from RNAcentral. Lineage: Bacteria; Bacillati; Bacillota; Clostridia; Lachnospirales; Lachnospiraceae.
ACGGGAAACCUUUUAUUGAAGCUUCGGCAGAUUUAGCUGGUUUCUAGUGGCGGACGGGUGAGUAACGCGUGGGUAACCUGCCCUAUACAGGGGGAUAACAACCAGAAAUGGUUGCUAAUACCGCAUAAGCGCACAGGACCGCAUGGUCCGGUGUGAAAAACUCCGGUGGUAUAGGAUGGACCCGCGUUGGAUUAGCCAGUUGGCAGGGUAACGGCCUACCAAAGCGACGAUCCAUAGCCGGCCUGAGAGGGUGAACGGCCACAUUGGGACUGAGACACGGCCCAGACUCCUACGGGAGACAGCAGUGGGGAAUAUUGCACAAUGGGGGAGACCCUGAUGCAGCGACGCCGCGUGAAGGAAGAAGUAUCUCGGUAUGUAAACUUCUAUCAGCAGGGAAGAUAGUGACGGUACCUGACUAAGAAGCCCCGGCUAACUACGUGCCAGCAGCCGCGGUAAUACGUAGGGGGCAAGCGUUAUCCGGAUUUACUGGGUGUAAAGGGAGCGUAGACGGAUUAGCAAGUCUGAUGUGAAAGGCAGGGGCUCAACCCCUGGACUGCAUUGGAAACUGCCAGUCUUGAGUGCCGGAGAGGUAAGCGGAAUUCCUAGUGUAGCGGUGAAAUGCGUAGAUAUUAGGAGGAACACCAGUGGCGAAGGCGGCU